This 292-nucleotide long non-coding RNA is filed under the name Equus caballus (horse). RNAcentral describes it as "lncRNA (ENSECAG00000059489.1)". Lineage: Eukaryota; Metazoa; Chordata; Mammalia; Perissodactyla; Equidae. The record is from RNAcentral.
AGACCCCAGGUACUGCAAAGAGCGGGAACAGCCUUCGCACAACUGUCCUGACUAUGUUCAAGGAGGUAAAAGUUACAGAGCACGGCAGUUACAGAGCACGGAUCGUAAUGGUCUCUCUCUCAGGAGCUAAUGUGAUGGGAAGUGAUCUGAGGAGUUAUCUGAGAAAGCACAAUAAAAGUCAGUGAUCGUCACGGCCAUUUCAGAGCUGGUCCCCCGGGUGAAGCCCUGCACACGAGCCGCUUUCCCCCCGCAGCCCCACCCCCUGCACAGGGGCCGACUCGAGCCUCGCAGU